AUACAGUUGGUCACUGUUCCAUACUGGGAGCCACUUCAAGGAUGCAGCCUUGAGAGUAAUACCUUAUUACGACCAUUUGAACUGUGUAUGUGAUUGAACUCCGUUAAGGCCUCUAUAUAAACUUUUAAGAUUCUAGCAGUCGAGUGGGUGGUAAGUUCCUUUCCUCAUUAAACCUGCCACCCACCAAUCUGGAGUGGCCUACCUCUCUUUUCCCGUCUCUCCUUGCCCUAAGUGCACUGGGCCAGUUUCAAAUUUCACCUGGGGGAACUCCAGAGGUUGUGAACAAACAGAAAUAUAAAGAAAGAUCACCAUGGAUAAAGCAUGCUUGGUGGUUUUGGAAUUUAGAGGAAGUAAUGUUAUUGUUUACAACAGUGUUACUCUUCAUUAUGAGAUUUUUUUGAUCAUUAUAGUACUCUGUAAAGUUGCAAGUAAUCGCUAACAAACUCCCUCACUAAGAGAAAUUUAUAUUAAUUAAAAAAAUCUUACAAUAAAUACGCCAAAAUUAAACAAACGAGACGAAUUUAUAUAGUCUGAACACUUUUUAGUUGCCUGUAGAAUUUGGAUCAAGUUCAAUAGACACAGGUAAAUAAACUAGAAGAAAUUGCUUGAAUAAGGUAGAUAGCAUCACUUAGCAGCUGAUUCUUGUUCCGACAAAAUUUAGAGAGUAAGACAACUUUCAAGUAAAAUGGACUUGAUUUUCUUGUUCCCCAAGAGAAAAGAAUCAAGCUACUUAGGUAGGUGGAGUGAGGACUAGAACCCAAGCCUUCUGCCUCCCAGCUGAUAGUUCUCUGAUUUUCCACAGUCCUCGAGCAUUUACACACCAGCUCCAGGCGCUACCUAAGCCAGGUGCUCUCACUUUUCCAGCCCGGAUCUUCACUCACUCCUAAGAUCCUUUAACGAGUGUUCUGAGAGCUGUGCAGUCCUUCGAUUCAUUCAAAGCAUUCUACAGCGAACACUAGGGGGGAAAAGAACAAACAAGAUAAAUUUCAAAUAUAGGAUUCAAUUACUUUUCACAACUCGAUGAUGUGUCAAAGGCACGCUGUGUUUUGUUUUGAGGGCGGGGAGAUGACUGGGAGGGAAUCCUGGGCCCCCAUUGGCUGGCCGCUCUCCGCUGCAGUUGAGCUCCAGCCGCUCGGAGAGGAUUAUUGAUCUGAAGGGUAAACGUGGAGGGAGCCACAGAGAGGGGUCCAAGCGUUUCUGAGAAGAGAGGCAGCCUCUUCCAGGAAGAAAGUGGUGUCUGCUGGCUGCCCAGCUUGGAGAACCUUCUAUGAAUAAACGGGGACAGAAUGCAAGGCAGUUUGUUGCUACAGUGAUUUAGAAGGAAAACAAGAAGGAGAGAAAGAGAAAGGUCUCACCUUCCGUGCGAGCCGGGGUUGUAGCAUCCUGCUGCCGCCGUCUCUGCUUCUGCUCCUGCAGCUGCCGUGUCUGCCACCAGAGGCUGGAAAGUUCAAGAUCAAGGUGUCAGCAGAUUCAGUUCCUGCUUUGGCUCUAUUUGGGAAUAUAGUCCAUUUGGAACUCAGUAGCACUUUGGAGUUUUAAAGAAUGCCAGCCUUUUUAAAGAAUUUGAUCUAAGGAUCCUCAAUUCGAUCAACUUCAAAGAUUACCUCAGCAGAGGCUGAAUUAAUUACACUUGAAUAGUUUGUUCUCCAAGAUGAGGAAGCUGAGACAUACAGAAGUUAAGAAAUGGACCCAUUUUCACAAGUAGCAGAGCAAUGAGAGAUAAGGAAAAUGUCCUAUUCAUGAACCUUACUUUUGAAGAUAUACAUUAGUUCCAAUGUAUACUGAUGUUUUUCCAAACUCAGUAAUUUGCACAAUAUUCUUGAGCAGGUACCCUACUUCAACAAGUUGUGCCCUCUCUCACCUAUACCUUAUUGGAGCCUCUGCGUAGCCUUACCACCAUCCAUCAGUCUCAGUAGAAGACUGUCCAACACCUAACCAUUCCUCUGGUGUUCUCUAUCAGAGGAGCCUGCCUUCCCCACAGUCUUGCCCUUCCAAUGUAUCUUCAUCCUCUUCCAAUGAAAUCUCAACCUGACCCAUUUUAAAACAAAGAAACAGGACAAAAAUAAAUGAAGUAU
RNAcentral lists this long non-coding RNA (2075 nucleotides) under Equus asinus (donkey). RNAcentral's name for it is "lncRNA (ENSEASG00005036362.1)". The record is from RNAcentral. Lineage: Eukaryota; Metazoa; Chordata; Mammalia; Perissodactyla; Equidae.